This 253-nucleotide ribosomal RNA is filed under the name uncultured bacterium. RNAcentral describes it as "partial 16S ribosomal RNA". It matches the Rfam family "Bacterial small subunit ribosomal RNA", at positions 524 to 776 of the family's 1533-position model. The record is from RNAcentral.
UAUGUAGGGUGCAAGCGUUAAUUGGAAUUACUGGGCGUAAAGCGUGCGCAGGCGGCUAUGCAAGACAGAUGUGAAAUCCCCGGGCUUAACCUGGGAACUGCAUUUGUGACUGCAUGGCUAGAGUACGGCAGAGGGGGAUGGAAUUCUGCGUGUAGCAGUGAAAUGUGUAGAUAUGCGGAGGAACACCGAUGGCGAAGGCAAUCCCCUGGGCCUGUACUGAUGUUUAUGCACGAAAGUGUGGGGAGCAAACAGG